CCGGAAUAGCUCAGUUGGUAGAGCAGAGGACUGAAAAUCCUCGUGUCAC
This 49-nucleotide transfer RNA is filed under the name Lopidium concinnum. Its description in RNAcentral is "partial tRNA-Phe". Lineage: Eukaryota; Viridiplantae; Streptophyta; Bryopsida; Hookeriales; Hypopterygiaceae. RNAcentral also lists the same sequence under 21 other names. The record is from RNAcentral.